UGACUGUAGCAAGCACCCUUCACAUUCUGCUAAAUGGAACAAGGGUAAUCCCUGGCAGGGUGCAGGAUUCUAUCCUGAGAGAGAUCCUCUCCCCUUGCCCUGUCUUCCAGUCCACAGGGGACUUUUUGUCCUGGAGACAGGAAACAGUCUCUUCACCUGUG
Molecule: non-coding RNA, 161 nt
Organism: Otolemur garnettii (small-eared galago)
Lineage: Eukaryota; Metazoa; Chordata; Mammalia; Primates; Galagidae
Source: Rfam